Cydia splendana is the source of this 655-nucleotide long non-coding RNA. RefSeq lists it as uncharacterized. The record is from RefSeq and is a predicted model, not a curated record. The transcript has 2 exons. NCBI's taxonomy places the organism in Eukaryota, Metazoa, Arthropoda, Insecta, Lepidoptera, Tortricidae.
UAUUGAAUGCUUCUAUUGUACUUUAUAAAUAGUGGUCAGAGCGGCAGGCCGUGUCGUCAAUGCUCUUAAUAAAUUAAAAAACAGUUACGACAGUGACUCACUUAGUCUCAGUAACGUAAAUCGCAAAACGUUAAGUGGGUACUUUAGCAACAAAUUAAUUGAUUUUGUGAUAUUAUUGCAGGACAAUAGGAAACGUUAUACAAUAUGACAGAGCAAAGCAAUACGAACAGACCAUUACCCGGGGGUCAAUCCGAAAGAGACCCAAGUGACCCAAAGUACCUACAAUUGGCGCAAGAGUCUUUUACCAAAUAUUGUGAGACGAACCCAGGCGGACCAAUUGAUGUUAAAGAAAUCAAAGUCACCAAAGUAACUCACCAGGUAGUCGCUGGUUCCAUGACACGGAUUACAUUCACCGUGGAACCCACCAACGGUGAAAUAUUUACAAUCUAUGCUAAAAUUUGGGAGCAGCCGUGGCUUAAUAAGAAGGAAAUUGAAGUGAAAUGUGAACCGGACGACUAGUGAUCUGGAAAGUGCAAAUUGUACUAUGGCCAUUAUAAAUUAAGGAUUGUCAAUAUUUGUUUCAUAUUUUUGUUCUGGAAUUUAUUUUUGAAGUUUAUUGUAUUCUUAAAAAUGUAAUAAAAGAAAGUUACUUAUA